Molecule: ribosomal RNA, 762 nt
Filed under: Staphylococcus aureus
Lineage: Bacteria; Bacillati; Bacillota; Bacilli; Caryophanales; Staphylococcaceae
Description: bacterial SSU rRNA
Rfam family: Bacterial small subunit ribosomal RNA
Source: RNAcentral
UUUAUGGAGAGUUUGAUCCUGGCUCAGGAUGAACGCUGGCGGCGUGCCUAAUACAUGCAAGUCGAGCGAACGGACGAGAAGCUUGCUUCUCUGAUGUUAGCGGCGGACGGGUGAGUAACACGUGGAUAACCUACCUAUAAGACUGGGAUAACUUCGGGAAACCGGAGCUAAUACCGGAUAAUAUUUUGAACCGCAUGGUUCAAAAGUGAAAGACGGUCUUGCUGUCACUUAUAGAUGGAUCCGCGCUGCAUUAGCUAGUUGGUAAGGUAACGGCUUACCAAGGCAACGAUGCAUAGCCGACCUGAGAGGGUGAUCGGCCACACUGGAACUGAGACACGGUCCAGACUCCUACGGGAGGCAGCAGUAGGGAAUCUUCCGCAAUGGGCGAAAGCCUGACGGAGCAACGCCGCGUGAGUGAUGAAGGUCUUCGGAUCGUAAAACUCUGUUAUUAGGGAAGAACAUAUGUGUAAGUAACUGUGCACAUCUUGACGGUACCUAAUCAGAAAGCCACGGCUAACUACGUGCCAGCAGCCGCGGUAAUACGUAGGUGGCAAGCGUUAUCCGGAAUUAUUGGGCGUAAAGCGCGCGUAGGCGGUUUUUUAAGUCUGAUGUGAAAGCCCACGGCUCAACCGUGGAGGGUCAUUGGAAACUGGAAAACUUGAGUGCAGAAGAGGAAAGUGGAAUUCCAUGUGUAGCGGUGAAAUGCGCAGAGAUAUGGAGGAACACCAGUGGCGAAGGCGACUUUCUGGUCUGUAACUGACG